CUCAGUGGGACCCACAUGGACAGAGGCUUCCCUGCCCACACUUGGGCCGGGUGAUCGACUGGCACCUGGGACAUAUGCCGCCAGCCUGCGUGCCUGGCCCCCGACACUGCCAGCCAGUGCACAGGACUGUCUCUGCCUCCUCUGCUUUGGGGAAACAGAAGGGACAGACAGCUGCCAGCCCUUUCAUGUAUGAAGUACUCCUUCCGUCUUGGCCUCCCCCGUGGAGGACCAUUCAGGGACUGUCCUAGCACCCGGGCCCACAGGUCUGUUCAUUCAGGAGAGAGACUUCUGUUGAAGGGGCUGGAUCCACCGUGUGGAAAGCCCUGAGAACGCCAUGGCUAGAAUCCAUCUCCCGGGAGCACCCAGGCUCCAGAGGAAGAAGCUGGACUCCACCGAUGUUCAUCCCCUAGAUGCGCUGUAACAAGGCUCCCAGAAGGUCAAGGCCAGAACUCCGGGCCUGGGCUGCCUCGCUCUGACCACAUUUCCAAGCACAAAUUGCACCCUGACCCCGUCGUCCCCAAACCCUACAUGCUGGGAGAUGGAGUCACGUCAAGGCCAUGAUAUGUGGACCAGCCUUUCCAUCACUGAACCUCCAAUGGAGGACCGGUCCCCCCUUUUUAAAUAAUUAAAUCAAUUUCCA
This is a long non-coding RNA of Ovis aries (sheep), 640 nucleotides long. Lineage: Eukaryota; Metazoa; Chordata; Mammalia; Artiodactyla; Bovidae. The record is from Ensembl.